GAUUAAAUAAUUAAAUCUUUAAGACAAACUAGCCUCUCUUCAUCACCCCACCAACUACUUUAAUAUAAAAAGGCUAGUAAAUUAGCACACACUCACUUUUUUUUUUACACUUUUACUCUUUAUUUCUCUCUCUCAUACAGUGUUUCACUUGCAUACUCUCACUUUUAUGUUAAAAGUUAAUAAUGUAAAAUUUAUGUUACUUUUGUUAAUUUUAAUUAAUAAAAGUCAUAGAAAUAAAUUCAGUAUGUUACCCCUCAUAUCAUUAUUUUUAUUUAUUUAAUUUAACUUAAAAUAUCAACGUCAACAAGGAACAUCACAAUUCACCAUCUACCUACGAGUCCAUUUGGAUAUCAAGGUGUGAAAAACUUAACUGAUCUUUGCACGGCUCUUAUUGAAUUGACUGGAGUGGACAAUUUUAUAUGUAAAUCAAAAGUAGAUCGUCUUAAAAUACAAACAAAAAAUCCAGAUUCAUAUAGAACACUGGUACGGUUUUUAAAAGAACAAAAAGCGGAAUUUCACAACUACCAGUUAAAAAAAGACAAGCCUUUACGCAUAGUGAUCCGCAAUUUACAUCCUACUACUUCGGUUGAUACAAUAAAAAAUGAGCUUGAAAUUAGACUUUUUGAAGUUAGAACCAAAUGAUAAAUCGAAAGAAAUAUAUGACUUAUCCUCCUUAUUACAUACAAAGAUUAAAGCCGUACAAACCCAAAACAAUAAGUCAAUGCAUAAAUUGUCAAUAUUAUGGUCACACAAAAGCCUACUGUGGUUACCCGCCGAGAUGUGUGCGCUGUGGAGCCGAUCAUAUGUCGUCUAACUACUCAAAGCCUCGCGAACAACCUCCAAAAUGUGCACUGUGCUCAAGUAGCCACCCUGCCAAUUACAAAGGAUGUUCAGUUUACAGAGAUCUGCAACAACGAAAAAAA
Long non-coding RNA from Daktulosphaira vitifoliae (grape phylloxera), 923 nucleotides. RefSeq lists it as uncharacterized. The record is from RefSeq and is a predicted model, not a curated record. The transcript is spliced from 3 exons. NCBI's taxonomy places the organism in Eukaryota, Metazoa, Arthropoda, Insecta, Hemiptera, Phylloxeridae.